Molecule: ribosomal RNA, 425 nt
Filed under: Clostridioides difficile
Lineage: Bacteria; Bacillati; Bacillota; Clostridia; Peptostreptococcales; Peptostreptococcaceae
Description: bacterial LSU rRNA
Rfam family: Bacterial large subunit ribosomal RNA
Source: RNAcentral
UGUAGCUUGACAUUGGGUCUUGGUACUACAUGUACAGGAUAGGUGGGAGGCUUUGAAACCAGGACGCCAGUUUUGGCGGAGCCAUCCUUGGGAUACCACCCUUGUAGUACUGGGACUCUAACCAUAGGCCAUGAAUCUGGUCUUGGGACACUGUCAGGUGGGCAGUUUGACUGGGGCGGUCGCCUCCCAAAAGGUAACGGAGGCGCUCAACGGUUCUCUCAGUACGGUCGGAAAUCGUACGUAGAGGGUAAAGGCAAAAGAGAGCUUGAUUGCAAGACAUACAGGUCGAGCAAGGAUGAAAAUCGGCCUUAGUGAUCCGGUGGUUCUGCGUGGAAGGGCGAUCGCUCAACGGAUAAAAGCUACCCUGGGGAUAACAGGCUUAUCCCCCCCAAGAGUCCACAUCGACGGGGAGGUUUGGCACCUCG